Molecule: microRNA, 21 nt
Filed under: Salmo salar (Atlantic salmon)
Lineage: Eukaryota; Metazoa; Chordata; Actinopteri; Salmoniformes; Salmonidae
Description: ssa-miR-737-5p
Gene: ssa-miR-737-5p
Source: miRBase by way of RNAcentral
GUUUUUUUAGGUUUAGACUUU